This 468-nucleotide ribosomal RNA is filed under the name uncultured bacterium. RNAcentral describes it as "partial 16S ribosomal RNA". It matches the Rfam family "Bacterial small subunit ribosomal RNA", at positions 28 to 507 of the family's 1533-position model. The record is from RNAcentral.
GACGAACGCUGGCGGCGUGCUUAACACAUGCAAGUCGAACGGAAAGGCCCUGCUUUUGUGGGGUGCUCGAGUGGCGAACGGGUGAGUAACACGUGAGUAACCUGCCCUUGACUUUGGGAUAACUUCAGGAAACUGGGGCUAAUACCGGAUAGGAGCUCCUGCUGCAUGGUGGGGGUUGGAAAGUUUCGGCGGUUGGGGAUGGACUCGCGGCUUAUCAGCUUGUUGGUGGGGUAGUGGCUUACCAAGGCUUUGACGGGUAGCCGGCCUGAGAGGGUGAACGGCAACAUUGGGACUGAGAUACGGACCAGACGGCUACGGGAGGCAGCAGUGGGGAAUAUUGCAAAAUGGGCGGAAGCAUGAUGCAGAAACGCCGCGGGCGGGAUGACGGCCUUCGGGUUGUAAACAGCUGUCGCCUGUGACGAAGCGUGAGUGACGGUAAUGGGUAAAGAAGCACCGGCUAACUACGUG